GUAUGGUAUUGUAGUAUCUGACAUAGGGGAGGGAGGGUCUCUGAAACUUUGCCAAUUCAUAAGUGCUAGCUACUACAGUAACAGAAACAGGCCGAGAUUUUUUUUCUUCCCCAACCGUCACUUUUCAAUAGGAAAAGACUGUAUUAGGCCCAGAGCAUGGUGGUGGGUUUGGCCUACUUCUCUAUCACCUCCUACAAUGACACCCGUUAACUUACCCUCAAG
Molecule: long non-coding RNA, 222 nt
Filed under: Homo sapiens (human)
Lineage: Eukaryota; Metazoa; Chordata; Mammalia; Primates; Hominidae
Description: HSALNT0243884
Source: RNAcentral